CCACUCAACAAGACUCAGCAGUCGGCUUCCCUGCGACUUUGAUCCAAUGGAAAUCUCAUAAACUCUGCCCCUUGGCAAUGAAGUUCAGCAUUCCCCUUCAUCAUCUUGCUACAACCUGACAGUCUCAGAAGCAACCUAGCGACAAAAGGACAAACUCCCUGACUGAAUUUCUGAGCCACAGUGUGACCCAUCUCACAGCUCCUCUGCGGCAAAGAUUGUUCGGAGACACCUGGAUUCCCCCGUAAGGAUUCAGACAUCAUUCUGGCCUGCACCUGUCGCCUGGCAGAAUGCACUCAGUACAGGGGUCUUCGAGAACAUCAGCAAUGGCAGGCCCACAAGAUGUGAGGAGCCUGGGGCCCAAAUCACCACGUGGAAGAAAGCCAAUGGCUUCCCUGGAAAGUCAUAGUAACACGGACAGACCAGCUAACUGCCAGUGGAUGAAUGACCACUGAAACGUUGGGGGUGGAUUCUUAAACCAGCUAAUACUUCUCUGAUAAUGUUGAAAUUGAGAAGACUAUAAUCAAUCAGGUCCAUAUUUUCUAGAAACAUUUAAUGUACUCUGACAUUUGUUUCUGGCUUUGUGCCUUUUGUAUCAGUCAAUAGUUCUACACCUAUGGUUCUACACCGUGGUUCCUGACUCCUUUGGGGGUCGCACAUCAGAUAUCAGACAUUUAUAUUACGAUUCAUAACAGUAGCAAGAUUACAGUUCUGAAGUAGUAACUAAAAUAAUGUUACGGUUGGGGUCACCACAGGUCCAGAACCACUGCUCUAAGCCAACCCUUCCCCUACAACUUCAUUCAGAGUGUUUCCCAAAGCACGCUUAGCAGAGCUGGCAAGCUGAGAAGGGUCGCAGACGUAGGGGAGUGGGGGGAGGGGAAAGGAUAUCUGCAUAUUAUACUAUUGUAAAUAUAUUAAUAAUUCUCUACCACUUCCAAAGUCUCCCCACCAAUCACAUAGUUUUGUGUCUGUUAUCAGACAUUUUUUAUCCUGGAGUUCUAGAACUGUCACGUACAUCUAGCAGAGAUGUACGUAAGUGGGGGCAGCUGUUCUCGAAAAGCUGGUUUCUGUGUGCUGACAACUGCCAAGUCCUGCAUGUGGAAAACCAGGAAGCCCAUGUCGAGACCUGAUGCCACACCAGGAAGACCAGUGCCUGCCAGGGGUCAUUUUAAGGGGCUCUUCUCCAGGUCCUCCCUUCCUCCCCCUUCUUCCUCUCUCUCCCUAGCGUCAUCCCCACCUCCCUCUCUCGGGGAUCUUCCAGCCCUCUCUCAAGUUUGGGGUCUUCACUUCUAUGCUUUGCUCAUUUUUUUUUCUUACUUGAAGCAUCAAGAUUCCCCACUGUGUCCCAUAACCCAUAAUCACCACAAUCCACGUGAUCUUCCUCUGCACCUACUGUCCUUAAAAUAGAGCACACUAGAGCCAGGAGGUUGUCCUAGUAGACAUUCAAAUCAUGGCUGUUUUCUGCCUUUUAAGAGUCUGAAACACCUGCCACAGCCUAAGCAUUCCACACAUCUGUAUCAAAUUGAACCAAGGGUACUGGAAACACAUUAGAAACACCGCAUUUACCGGAAGGAGGCACAUGUUAGUUUGAAAACAACUGGUUGUGAUGGCGACUGGCAUCCUUACCUCUCAAUGAGUUUAAAUAGAGUCGGACAUGGUGGUCCAAACCUGUACUCUCUCAGUACUUGGGAUGCAGACACUGGGUUGAAUCUAGUUUGAGGCCAGCCUGGGCUGCUUAGUACAUUCUGGGUCAAUAUGGGCUACAAAGCAAGAACCUGUCUCAAACAAACAAAUAAACAAAAACCAAACUGAAACCAAA
Long non-coding RNA from Mesocricetus auratus (golden hamster), 1816 nucleotides. RefSeq lists it as uncharacterized. The transcript has 3 exons. The record is from RefSeq and is a predicted model, not a curated record. Lineage: Eukaryota; Metazoa; Chordata; Mammalia; Rodentia; Cricetidae.